This 473-nucleotide ribosomal RNA is filed under the name uncultured bacterium. RNAcentral describes it as "bacterial SSU rRNA". It matches the Rfam family "Bacterial small subunit ribosomal RNA", at positions 21 to 518 of the family's 1533-position model. The record is from RNAcentral.
GGCUCAGAACGAACGCUGGCGGCAUGGAUUAGGCAUGCAAGUCGAACGAAGCAGCAAUGCUUAGUGGCGCAAGGGUGAGGAACACGUGAGUGACCUGCCCGCAAGUUUGGAACAGCUCCUGGAAACGGGAAUUAAUACCGGAUGUGAUCAUAGAGCUGCAUGGUUUUAUGAUUAAAGCAGUAAUGCGCUUGCGGAUGGGCUCGCGUCCCAUUAGCUAGUUGGUGAGGUAACGGCCCACCAAGGCCAUGAUGGGUAGCUGGUCUGAGAGGACGACCAGCCACACUGGGACUGAGAACUGCCCAGACUCCUACGGGAGGCUGCAGUCGAGAAUUUUGGGCAAUGGACGAAAGUCUGAACCCCCAGCAAUGCCGCGUGCGGGAUGAAGGUCUUCGGAUUGUAAACCGCUGUUUGGAGGGACGAAAAUUGACGGUACUUCCAGAGAAAGCCACGGCUAACUACGUGCCAGCAGCCGC